Molecule: transfer RNA, 72 nt
Filed under: Bos taurus (domestic cattle)
Lineage: Eukaryota; Metazoa; Chordata; Mammalia; Artiodactyla; Bovidae
Also listed under: 4 other names
Rfam family: tRNA
About the family: Transfer RNA (tRNA) molecules are approximately 80 nucleotides in length. Their secondary structure includes four short double-helical elements and three loops (D, anti-codon, and T loops). Further hydrogen bonds mediate the characteristic L-shaped molecular structure. tRNAs have two regions of fundamental functional importance: the anti-codon, which is responsible for specific mRNA codon recognition, and the 3' end, to which the tRNAs corresponding amino acid is attached (by aminoacyl-tRNA synthetases). tRNAs cope with the degeneracy of the genetic code in two manners: having more than one tRNA (with a specific anti-codon) for a particular amino acid; and 'wobble' base-pairing, i.e. permitting non-standard base-pairing at the 3rd anti-codon position.
Source: Rfam by way of RNAcentral
UCCCAAGUAGCUCAGAUGGUUAAGAAUCUGCCUGCAAUGCAGGAGACCCAAGUUCGAUCCUUGGGUUGGGAA